This 65-nucleotide transfer RNA is filed under the name Philonthus fimetarius. Its description in RNAcentral is "tRNA-Tyr". Lineage: Eukaryota; Metazoa; Arthropoda; Insecta; Coleoptera; Staphylinidae. The record is from RNAcentral.
GGUAAUAUGGCUGAGCCCAAGCAAUAAACUGUAAAUUUAUUCACGAAUAAUUAAUUCUUUUACCA